This 497-nucleotide ribosomal RNA is filed under the name uncultured bacterium. RNAcentral's name for it is "partial 16S ribosomal RNA". It matches the Rfam family "Bacterial small subunit ribosomal RNA", at positions 28 to 507 of the family's 1533-position model. The record is from RNAcentral.
GAUGAACUCUGGCGGCGUGCCUAAUACAUGCAAGUCGAGCGAACAGACGAGGAGCUUGCUCCUCUGACGUUAGCGGCGGACGGGUGAUUAACACGUGGAUAACCUACCUAUAAGACUGGGAUAACUUCGGGAAACCGGAGCUAAUACCGGAUAAUAUAUUGAACCGCAUGGUUCAAUAGUGAAAGACGGUUUUGCUGUCACUUAUAGAUGGAUCCGCGCCGCAUUAGCUAGUUGGUAAGGUAACGGCUUACCAAGGCAACGAUGCGUAGCCGACCUGAGAGGGUGAUCGGCCACACUGGAACUGAGACACGGUCCAGACUCCUACGGGAGGCAGCAGUAGGGAAUCUUCCGCAAUGGGCGAAAGCCUGACGGAGCAACGCCGCGUGAGUGAUGAAGGUCUUCGGAUCGUAAAACUCUGUUAUUAGGGAAGAACAAAUGUGUAAGUAACUAUGCACGUCUUGACGGUACCUAAUCAGAAAGCCACGGCUAACUACGUG